This 443-nucleotide ribosomal RNA is filed under the name uncultured soil bacterium. RNAcentral's name for it is "bacterial SSU rRNA". It matches the Rfam family "Bacterial small subunit ribosomal RNA", at positions 26 to 512 of the family's 1533-position model. The record is from RNAcentral.
AGGACGAACGCUGGCGGCAUGCCUAAUACAUGCAAGUCGAACGAACACUUCGGUGUUAGUGGCGCACGGGUGCGUAACGCGUGGGAAUCUGCCCUUGGGUUCGGAAUAACAGUUGGAAACGACUGCUAAUACCGGAUGAUAUCGAAAGAUCAAAGAUUUAUCGCCCAGGGAUGAGCCCGCGUAGGAUUAGCUAGUUGGUGAGGUAAAGGCUCACCAAGGCGACGAUCCUUAGCUGGUCUGAGAGGAUGAUCAGCCACACUGGGACUGAGACACGGCCCAGACUCCUACGGGAGGCAGCAGUAGGGAAUAUUGGACAAGUGGGCGCAAGGCCUGAUCCAGCAAUGCCGCGUGAGUGAUGAAGGCCUUAGGGUUGUAAAGCUCGUUUUACCCGAGAUGAUAAUGACAGUAUCGGAGAAUAAGCCCCGGCUAACCUCCGUGCCAGC